AGAGUUUGAUCAUGGCUCAGGACGAACGCUGGCGGCGUGCCUAAUACAUGCAAGUCGGACGCUUUUUCUUUCACCGGAGCUUGCUCCACCGAAAGAAAAGGAGUGGCGAACGGGUGAGUAACACGUGGGUAACCUGCCCAUCAGAAGGGGAUAACACUUGGAAACAGGUGCUAAUACCGUAUAACAAUCGAAACCGCAUGGUUUCGGUUUGAAAGGCGCUUUUGCGUCACUGAUGGAUGGGCCCGCGGUGCAUUAGCUAGUUGGUGAGGUAACGGCUCACCAAGGCAACGAUGCAUAGCCGACCUGAGAGGGUGAUCGGCCACAUUGGGACUGAGACACGGCCCAAACUCCUACGGGAGGCAGCAGUAGGGAAUCUUCGGCAAUGGACGCAAGUCUGACCGAGCAACGCCGCGUGAGUGAAGAAGGUUUUCGGAUCGUAAAACUCUGUUGUUAGAGAAGAACAAGGAUGAGAGUAAAAUGUUCAUCCCUUGACGGUAUCUAACCAGAAAGCCACGGCUAACUACGUGCCAGCAGCCGCGGUAAUACGUAGGUGGCAAGCGUUGUCCGGAUUUAUUGGGCGUAAAGCGAGCGCAGGCGGUUUCUUAAGUCUGAUGUGAAAGCCCCCGGCUCAACCGGGGAGGGUCAUUGGAAACUGGGAAACUUGAGUGCAGAAGAGGAGAGUGGAAUUCCACGUGUAGCGGUGAAAUGCGUAGAUAUAUGGAGGAACACCAGUGGCGAAGGCGGCUCUCUGGUCUGUAACUGACGCUGAGGCUCGAAAGCGUGGGGAGCAAACAGGAUUAGAUACCCUGGUAGUCCACGCCGUAAACGAUGAGUGCUAAGUGUUGGAGGGUUUCCGCCCUUCAGUGCUGCAGCU
Molecule: ribosomal RNA, 874 nt
Filed under: uncultured bacterium
Lineage: Bacteria
Description: bacterial SSU rRNA
Rfam family: Bacterial small subunit ribosomal RNA
Source: RNAcentral